UACGGAGGGUGCAAGCGUUAUCCGGAUUCACUGGGUUUAAAGGGUGCGUAGGUGGGUAGGUAAGUCAGCGGUGAAAUCCCCGAGCUUAACUUGGGAACUGCCAUUGAUACUAUCUGUCUUGAAUACCUUGGAGGUGAGCGGAAUAUGUCAUGUAGCGGUGAAAUGCUUAGAUAUGACAUAGAACACCAAUUGCGAAGGCAGCUCACUACACGGUCAUUGACACUGAGGCACGAAAGCGUGGGGAGCAAACAGG
RNAcentral lists this ribosomal RNA (253 nucleotides) under uncultured bacterium. RNAcentral describes it as "partial 16S ribosomal RNA". It matches the Rfam family "Bacterial small subunit ribosomal RNA", at positions 524 to 776 of the family's 1533-position model. The record is from RNAcentral.